UACGUAGGGUGCAAGCGUUAAUCGGAAUUACUGGGCGUAAAGCGUGCGCAGGCGGUUAUGUAAGACAGAUGUGAAAUGCCCGGGCUUAACCUGGGAACUGCAUUUGUGACUGCAUGGCUAGAGUUUGGCAGAGGGGGGUAGAAUUCCACGUGUAGCAGUGAAAUGCGUAGAUAUGUGGAGGAACACCGAUGGCGAAGGCAGCCCCCUGGGAUGAGACUGACGCUCAUGUACGAAAGCGUGGGGAGCAAACAGG
This 253-nucleotide ribosomal RNA is filed under the name uncultured bacterium. RNAcentral describes it as "partial 16S ribosomal RNA". It matches the Rfam family "Bacterial small subunit ribosomal RNA", at positions 524 to 776 of the family's 1533-position model. The record is from RNAcentral.